UGCANGUCGAGCGCGAAAGUUCUUCGGAAUGAGUAGAGCGGCGGACGGGUGANUAAUGCAUAGGAAUCUGCCCAGUAGUGGGGGAUAGCCCGGGGAAACCCGGAUUAAUACCGCAUACGUCCUACGGGAGAAAGCAGGGGAUCUUCGGACCUUGCGCUAUUGGAUGAGCCUAUGUCGGAUUAGCUUGUUGGUGGGGUAACGGCCCACCAAGGCGACGAUCCGUAGCUGGUCUGAGAGGAUGAUCAGCCACACUGGAACUGAGACACGGUCCAGACUCCUACGGGAGGCAGCAGUGGGGAAUAUUGCACAAUGGGGGAAACCCUGAUGCAGCCAUGCCGCGUGUGUGAAGAAGGCCUUCGGGUUGUAAAGCACUUUCAGUAGGGAGGAAGGCCCUAAAGUUAAUACCUUUAGGGAUUGACGUUACCUACAGAAGAAGCACCGGCUAACUCCGUGCCAGCAGCCGCGGUAAUACGGAGGGUGCGAGCGUUAAUCGGAAUUACUGGGCGUAAAGCGCGCGUAGGCGGUUAGUUAAGCUGGAUGUGAAAGCCCCGGGCUCAACCUGGGAACUGCAUUCAGAACUGGCUGGCUAGAGUACGAGAGAGGGUAGUGGAAUUUCCUGUGUAGCGGUGAAAUGCGUAGAUAUAGGAAGGAACAUCAGUGGCGAANGCGACUGCCUGGCUCGAUACUGACGCUGANGUGCGAAAGCGUGGGGAGCAAACAGGANUANAUACCCUGGUAGUCCACGCCGUAAACGAUGUCUACUANUCGUANGGUUCCUUGAGNACUUUGUGACGCANCUAACGCAAUAANUA
Molecule: ribosomal RNA, 812 nt
Filed under: uncultured bacterium
Lineage: Bacteria
Description: bacterial SSU rRNA
Rfam family: Bacterial small subunit ribosomal RNA
Source: RNAcentral